This 89-nucleotide transfer RNA is filed under the name Candidatus Saccharimonadota bacterium. RNAcentral describes it as "tRNA-Leu". It matches the Rfam family "tRNA". From Rfam's summary of the family: Transfer RNA (tRNA) molecules are approximately 80 nucleotides in length. Their secondary structure includes four short double-helical elements and three loops (D, anti-codon, and T loops). Further hydrogen bonds mediate the characteristic L-shaped molecular structure. tRNAs have two regions of fundamental functional importance: the anti-codon, which is responsible for specific mRNA codon recognition, and the 3' end, to which the tRNAs corresponding amino acid is attached (by aminoacyl-tRNA synthetases). tRNAs cope with the degeneracy of the genetic code in two manners: having more than one tRNA (with a specific anti-codon) for a particular amino acid; and 'wobble' base-pairing, i.e. permitting non-standard base-pairing at the 3rd anti-codon position. The record is from RNAcentral. Lineage: Bacteria; Candidatus Saccharimonadota.
GCGGACGUGGUGGAACUGGUAGACACGCCAGCUUGAGGGGCUGGUGCCCAAUUACGGGCGUGGAAGUUCGAGUCUUCUCGUCCGCACCA